Molecule: long non-coding RNA, 299 nt
Filed under: Rosa chinensis
Lineage: Eukaryota; Viridiplantae; Streptophyta; Magnoliopsida; Rosales; Rosaceae
Description: sRNA RchiOBHm_Chr6g0310591
Source: RNAcentral
UUCUAUAGCUUUCUUCUUUUGAAUGUUGAAAAACUCUUUUCUUUUUACUGUUAUCAAGUUGUACAUUUGACUGGUGAAGAAUCAAAGACCAUUCUCCACUGUUCCAGACUGAAAACUCACCUGUUGAUAUAAAACUUGCUGUAAACAAUGACUCAAGUAAAGAACUUGAUCAAUUGAAUGGACAUGCAAAAUAAAUGAUCAAUUUGAGUUUCAAUGUUAGUUUGUUUUAGAUAGUUACUUAAAUGGCAUUUGGUUCUUGGCAAUGCAAUCUGAAUGGAUCAUAUUGGCAUUUAAUAAUU